AGAGCCCAGCCCCGCCGCCGCACCUGGUGGAGGCGGCGCGGCGGAGAUUCGGAGGCAUCAGCAGCUCAGCCUGACGCCCAGGAUCCCACCCCUUGUCAAAGACCAGGCCGUGGAAGCCAUGUUCCCACCAGCCAGGGGGAAGGAGCUGCUCUCGUUUGAGGAUGUGGCGAUGUACUUCACCAGAGAGGAGUGGGGCCACCUCGACUGGGGUCAGAAGGACCUCUACCGAGAUGUGAUGCUGGAGAACUACAGGAACAUGGUCUUGCUGGGUAGGACACAGCUUGAAGAUUGGGCUUUGUCUGUGUUCUGAGUGUCUGUGCAAGCCCUUAGUCCCUUAUCUGCAAUUCCAGAAUCAGAAAAAGUGCUGAAAACUGAAAGUUUUUUUCAUAACUUGUGUGGCUACAAGCCCUGACCAGACAUCACCACAGUGAAACCUGACUUCACCCCAUAGGAAACCAUUUAUUGUCUUUAUUUUUCCAACUUGGUGUGCAUAUCUGUAUACCCAACUUCAGAAAUAACAGUGUAGGCCGGGUGUGGUGGCUCACGCCUACAAUCCUAGCACUUUGGGAUUCUGAGGCAGGUGGGUCACCUGAGGUCAGUAGUUUGAGACCAGCCUGGCCAAUAUGGUAAAACCCAUCUCUACUUAAGAUACGAAAAUUAGCCGGUUGUGGUGGUGCACGCUUGUAGUCCCAGUUACUUGGGAGGCUGAGGCAGGAGAAUCGCUUGAACCCAGGAGGGAGAGGUUGCACUGAGCCGAGAUCAUGCCAGUGCAUUCCAGCCUGGGCGACAGAGUGAGACUCCGUCCCAAAACAAAACAAAACAACAACAAAAAUAACUGUAUUUGAGGGCACCACUCCAAACCCUACUGGGGAUGAUACGUUAUGUAAAAUAUUUACACCAGGUCACCUUUCUGAAAUUGGAAAAAUUCUGACUCCUGAAACACAUCUGGUCCUAAGGGUUUCACAUAAGGAACUGGGGACAGCAAAUAGUCGUGUUGUGUUAGGGCUCAGACAGAGACACUUCAUGCGUUCUUCACUCUCACCCCAUGUUCCUCAUCUGUAAGACCUGCAGGAGUUGAGAAUUACGGUAGAUUUACAUUCCAAAGGCUCACUUCUUAUGCUCUUGAAAGUCUUUUUCUUUCUUCUCUCUGGAAAUGGGUAACUUCUUGGUGUGUAGCAUUAGUGGGUGCUCAGGAAAUGAUUUUAAACCAACUUCAUUUCUGAACCUUCACUGCUUCCAUCUUUUCAGGAGCCUACCUUGUCCUAUUCCACUGUAGUCUCCUACUGUGGGAAUUGCCUUGCUAAAUAGUUUUCUUUCCAGGACCACAUGUUUAACCCCUGCACUGACACUCUUAGCACAGAGUCUUGACCACCUCUUGUGGGAUCGUCCACCCACCUCUGGAUUUUUAUAAUUUUAAUGUUCCCUUUAAAAGCAUUACAAGAGCAUACAUAAGUACAUGGAAGGCAUAGAAAAGGAGGAGAAGAGGAAAGUGUUCAUGAGUAACACUGUUAAUAUUUUGGAAGAUUUCCUUCCAAUCUUUUUUUCCUAUGCCUUUACAAAAGUAGCUGAACAUAGUCUAUGUGUAAUCCUGUAAUCUGUUUUAAACUUAACAUUAUUGUAUCAGUGUUUCCCCACAGAAUCAGUAAACGAGCAUAAUAUAAUUCCAUUGUGUGAUCCAUAGUACUAUUUCAUUGUUUUUCCAUGUGGGAACAUUCAGCUUGACUUUGUUUUUGUUCGUUGGUUUGCUUGUGUAUUUAUAAUGUUUGAAUAGAUGUUUCUAAGU
Mandrillus leucophaeus (drill) is the source of this 1783-nucleotide RNA transcript. It is a transcript of the gene named zinc finger protein 789, with no coding region annotated. The transcript has 4 exons. Lineage: Eukaryota; Metazoa; Chordata; Mammalia; Primates; Cercopithecidae. The record is from RefSeq and is a predicted model, not a curated record.